AGAUUGAACGCUGGCGGCAGGCCUAACACAUGCAAGUCGAGCGGUAGAGAGGUGCUUGCACCUCUUGAGAGCGGCGGACGGGUGAGUAAUGCCUAGGAAUCUGCCUAGUGGUGGGGGAUAACGUUCGGAAACGGACGCUAAUACCGCAUACGUCCUACGGGAGAAAGCGGGGGACCUUCGGGCCUCGCGCCAUUAGAUGAGCCUAGGUCGGAUUAGCUAGUUGGUGAGGUAAUGGCUCACCAAGGCGACGAUCCGUAACUGGUCUGAGAGGAUGAUCAGUCACACUGGAACUGAGACACGGUCCAGACUCCUACGGGAGGCAGCAGUGGGAAUUAUUGGACAAGU
RNAcentral lists this ribosomal RNA (345 nucleotides) under uncultured soil bacterium. RNAcentral's name for it is "bacterial SSU rRNA". It matches the Rfam family "Bacterial small subunit ribosomal RNA", at positions 26 to 373 of the family's 1533-position model. The record is from RNAcentral.